RNAcentral lists this ribosomal RNA (240 nucleotides) under uncultured bacterium. RNAcentral describes it as "partial 16S ribosomal RNA". It matches the Rfam family "Bacterial small subunit ribosomal RNA", at positions 57 to 305 of the family's 1533-position model. The record is from RNAcentral.
GCAAGUCGAACGAUAAAGCACCUUCGGGUGUGAGUAGAGUGGCGCACGGGUGAGUAACACGUAGUUAACCUACCCAUUGAUGGGGGAUAACCAGGAGAAAUUCUGGCUAAUACCGCAUAAGUUGGUAACAAGAAAGGAUGCUUCGGCAUUCGUCGAUGGAUGGGCCUGCGUAACAUUAGCUUGAUGGGGGGGUAAUGGCCUACCAUGGCUACGAUGUUUAGCUGGUCUGAGAGGAUGAGC